This is a non-coding RNA of Gymnothorax javanicus (giant moray), 80 nucleotides long. NCBI's taxonomy places the organism in Eukaryota, Metazoa, Chordata, Actinopteri, Anguilliformes, Muraenidae. The record is from the annotation of a GenBank genome assembly.
GCCCCGGUGGCUCACUGGUCUAAGCGCGCGCACCAUAAAGGCUGUGUCCUUACAGACUGGUUCGAUUCCAGCCCGGGUCA